GACGAACGCUGGCGGCAUGCCUAAUACAUGCAAGUCGAGCGAACAGAUGAAGUGCUUGCACUUCUGACGUUAGCGGCGAACGGGUGAGUAACACGUAAGGAAUCUACCUAUAAGCGGGGGAUAACAUUCGGAAACGGGUGCUAAUACCGCAUAAUAUCUUCUUCCGCAUGGAAGAAGAUUGAAAGACGGCUCUGCUGUCACUUAUAGAUGACCUUGCGGUGCAUUAGUUAGUUGGUGGGGUAAUGGCCUACCAAGACAAUGAUGCAUAGCCGACAUGAGAGGGUGAUCGGCCACAUUGGGACUGAGACACGGCCCAAACGCCUACGGGAGGCAGCAGUAGGGAAUCUGCCGCAAUGGGCGAAAGCCUGACGGAGCAAUGCCGCGUGAGUGAAGAAGGCCUUCGGGUCGUAAAACUCUGUUAUAAGAGAAGAACAAAUUGUAGAGUAACUGCUACAGUCUUGACGGUAUCUUAUCAGAAAGCCACGGCUAACUACGUGCCAGCCGCCGCCGUAA
Molecule: ribosomal RNA, 513 nt
Filed under: uncultured bacterium
Lineage: Bacteria
Description: partial 16S ribosomal RNA
Rfam family: Bacterial small subunit ribosomal RNA
Source: RNAcentral